This is a long non-coding RNA of Gouania willdenowi (blunt-snouted clingfish), 1152 nucleotides long. The record is from Ensembl. Lineage: Eukaryota; Metazoa; Chordata; Actinopteri; Blenniiformes; Gobiesocidae.
CGUGUUAGCAAGGAGGGGUAAACACAAACAGGGGAUAUAUUGUUCCUGUAGUUAGAGGGGUGUUGUGGUAUCAGCCACAAACAUGGUAUCCUACAACUCAUUUUCUUUAUCACUUCAUCUCCUCUUUCCUUUUGCAUCAGAUCCUGAUAUAAAGCAAAACAUGGAGAACCCAAGCAUGGAGCAGCUGGCAGAGCCCACCCUAGAGACCCCCACAGCUGAGCUCAGGACUCCUCAUCACAAAGUUUCCAAGAAAGCACCUCUGAGCUUUAACACACCUGACUACUCUAAGGUAAAGUCCAGGAUUCAAUUUCCCAAAGGCCAGUACAAGCCUCCAAAGAUGCAAAGCAAAGCCCAUCCAAUCUUUAACAUACCUGACUACUCUAAGGUAAAGUCCAGGGUUCAAUUCCCCAAAGGCCAGUACAAGCCUCCAAAGACCCAAAGGAAAGCACCUCUGAGCUUUCCCACACCUGACUACUCUAAGGUGGAGCCCAGGGUUAAAUUCCCCAAAGGCCAGUACAAGCCUCCAAAGAGCCAACGCCCCCUCAGGGAGGAUUCCGUGAGCCCCCAGGCCCCGUUACCCUUUACAUCUCCUGCUGACUUGGUGAGGGAAGUCCUGGACCACACAGCAGAUGGAUCCUCCUCUUCAGACUUCAGUAGUCCUCAGCAGGCCAUCACUCUCGUCGCUCAGCUACAGGUGAAGCUGUGCUGGGAGUCAAUACGUCAAGAGUCAAUGGAGGCUCUAAGGUUGAUCAGUGUUUGUGAUAGUGUUCUAAAUGUUCCUCUGACCAAGGAGCUCCAGGUGAAAAUACAGAAUACACCUUCAGCAAUAACGUCUGAAAAAAGAAAAUGCCACACAGAUGAAGAUGAAGUCAAAGAGCUGAAGAAAUGGAUCAAAGUCCUGCAUGAAGUGUGCAACACACAUUAAUGUUGAGCAGGCAGAAGGACAAUCUGGGUCAUCAAUGGUCCAACUUAUCAUCAAGUCCAACACCUGGUGCCGAUGGCACGAAGAAAAGCUGAAAGAGCUGAUGGAGAAUCACACGCUUUCAGAACAUGUCCUACCUUUGGAUCACGUUGGAAGAAGUUCUGGACCUUGAAUAACUGUUGUUACUUGUUGUGUCAAUAAAAAUGCCUUUAGUUUAAAUUAUUCUUUCA